ACACAUGCAAGUCCAACGGUAAGGCGCGUUUCGGGCGUACACGAGCGGCGAAACGGGUUGAGUCACACGCGAGGAAACGCGCCCUUCGACUUUCGGUAUAGCACUUCGGAAACAGGUCGGUAAUCCCGAAAUAUUCAGUUUCCCGGGCAUCCGGGUUCGUUGGAAAGCUUUUUGCGGUCAGGGAUCGUCUCGCGGCCUAUCAGCUUGUUGGUGGGGUAGUGGCCCACCAAGGCCUUGACGGGUAGCCGGCCUGAGAGGGCGACCGGCCACAUUGGGACUGAGAUACGGCCCAGACUCCUACGGGAGGCAGCAGUGGGGAAUAUUGCACAAUGGGCGGAAGCCUGAUGCAGCAACGCCGCGUGCGGGAUGACGGCCUUCGGGUUGUAAACCGCUUUCACCCAUGACGAAGCGCGAGUGACGGUAGUGGGGGAAGAAGCACCGGCCAACUACGUGCCAGCAGCCGCGGUGAUACGUAGGGUGCGAGCGUUGUCCGGAAUUAUUGGGCGUAAAGAGCUUGUAGGCGGUUGAUUCGCGUCGAUAGUGAAAUCCCGGGGCUCAACCUCGGGCUUGCUGUCGAUACGGGUUGACUUGAGGAAGGUAGGGGAGAAUGGAACUCCCGGUGGAGCGGUGGAAUGCGCAGAUAUCGGGAAGAACACCGGUGGCGAAGGCGGUUCUCUGGACCUUUCCUGACGCUGAGAAGCGAAAGCGUGGGGAGCAAACAGGCUUAGAUACCCUGGUAGUCCACGCUGUAAACGGUGGGUACUAGGUGUGGGUCGCAUUCCACGUGAUCCGUGCCGUAGCCAACGCAUUAAGUACCCCGCCUGGGGAGUACGGCCGCAAGGCUAAAACUCAAAGGAAUUGACGGGGCCCCGCACAAGCGGCGGAGCAUGCGGAUUAAUUCGAUGCAACGCGAAGAACCUUACCUGGGUUUGACAUGUACUGGAAGCGCUCAGAGAUGGGCGUGCCUUUUCGGCCGGUUCACAGGUGGUGCAUGGCUGUCGUCAGCUCGUGUCGUGAGAUGUUGGGUUAAGUCCCGCAACGAGCGCAACCCUCGUCCAAUGUUGCCAGCAGUUCGGCUGGGGACUCGUUGGAGACCGCCGGGGUCAACUCGGAGGAAGGUGGGGAUGAGGUCAAGUCAUCAUGCCCCUCAUGUCCAGGGCUUCACGCAUGCUACAACGGCCGGUACAAAGAGUUGCGAGCCUGUGAGGGUGAGCGAAUCUCGGAAAGCCGGUCUCAGUUCGGAUUGGGGUCUGCAACUCGACCCCAUGAAGUCGGAGUCGCUAGUAAUCGCAGAUCAGCAACGCUGCGGUGAAUACGUUCCCGGGGCUUGUACACACCGCCCGUC
This 1345-nucleotide ribosomal RNA is filed under the name uncultured bacterium. RNAcentral describes it as "16S ribosomal RNA". It matches the Rfam family "Bacterial small subunit ribosomal RNA", at positions 51 to 1398 of the family's 1533-position model. The record is from RNAcentral.